This is a long non-coding RNA of Sesamum indicum (sesame), 2260 nucleotides long. RefSeq lists it as uncharacterized. The record is from RefSeq and is a predicted model, not a curated record. NCBI's taxonomy places the organism in Eukaryota, Viridiplantae, Streptophyta, Magnoliopsida, Lamiales, Pedaliaceae.
ACCUUUACGAAUUCUUCUCUUUUCACUCUCUCUAAGACCUGAUAUUUUACAUCUUUGAACCAUCUUCCCCUUUCCCAUAAUCCCACGUUCUCAAAACCAAUUUCUCUCUCGCUCUCUCUCUCUCUCUCUACCGUUUCGCCGUACCGGUACUUGAACCCUAUAAUCCCACCUUAUUCCUACGCAAUUCACGUAUUAUUUUCAUCACAACAGAAAUGACAAACUGGUGGAUUCUCCCUCUCAAUCACGUAAUCAGGAUAGCACUUGGAGCAGACGCAACGAUUUUCCGCCGAGCUCAUUAUCUCCUUUUCUGCUUGGAUUGACUUGGCAUCCUCAUUUUCACAGGUUCUUUUGAUAUGUGUCCCACUUAUCUUCUUUACUUUUUGUUCAUUUUGUUUCAUGAAUUAUUAUUAUUAUUAUUUUGGAUCUUUUUUUAUGUAUUCAGUUCAAUUUUUUCGCAUAUAUACUCUGUUUGGGGCUUGAAGGCAGAAAUAAUUGAUUUUUGGGGGGAGAGUGUUUAUUAUGAAUGCUCUAAAUUUGUUUAUGGAUUCGUUGACGAUUAUGUCGUCCCCAUUUCUUUCUACGAAUCUUUCCGCUUCAGAAAUCCUAAAAAGUUUUAGGACAAGAAUUAGUUGGACACUUCAACAUAUUCUAGAUUUAGCUUUGAUAGUUUGGUGAAAAACAGUUUGCCAAGCGCUUUUCGGUAUAUUUUGAUGCCUUUAAACUUCGAAUUUUGUUACCAUAUAUCUGUUUACUUGAUUUUAAUAGUAUACUUAAAUCUAAAUUUAUGAAAACAUAUUAGGAAUAAGAAAACUCGCUCCUCUCGAGGCUAGAGUAGAAAGGUUUUUUGACUAAAGGCGUUAAUAUGAUUCUCUUUUAAAGUUCUAAAGUUUUACACUCUGCAUUAUUGCUAUUUAUUGAAGUGAUUGAGGAUGUUUCAUAAUUGAAUUAGUAUAUGUAUUCUCUUUAUUGUAGAUGUUUCCUCUAUAUCAGAAUGCAUACACAGAAAUCAACUUCAUAAGCUUUAUUAUUGGUUCAGACUUUCUCAUUGUUUGUACGUUAUUAUUUAAGAUAUUGGUCAUAGUUUUUAACUUAUCAUGUCUGAGGAUAUAUUCAAAAUCUGCACAUUUGUGAAAAGGGAUAGAAAAAAUGCUUAUACUUUGUUGAUUUUUUCAGUUAAGUGAUAGUUGACCAAGAAAAGUACCAGGAGUAACUAGCUCUCCUCUAAUUCUUUUGAAGUUUUAUUGAGUUUCAUAUUUGAAAGGAUCAUUGUAUUUUUUUAUCUUUUUGUGAAAAUUUAGAGUGUCAUUUGCUCUAGGUUUCUUUUAACAAGUUUAUUGAUUUGUUAAAGGCAUUGGAAUAACUCAACGAUAGGUUGGUAGAUUUUCACGACUCCUUUAGUUUUCUUUAUCUCCUAUAUCUAUGGACGUUUUCAUAAUUGAGAUAAAGGUUUUGAUUUUUCCAUGUUUCUGUUUUCAUGUGAAUUGAGAUUUGUGUUGCACAAAAGAAAGAAAUGAUGGGUUCUUAAAUAAUUGAGAUGUCUGUCUUUGUUUACACUCUGUUUAUCCUCUCUAGAAUUGCAAUACAUACCUACUCCCUCUAUGUUGUAAUUUGUUUGCCAUGUUUUGGAUGUAGAUUUAUCACGUUAUCACAAUUAUUUCAUUCAAAUAGGAUUGGUUAAUCCAGUUAAUUUUUAUCUCUCGAUUAGAGUUAGUUCUUAUGCUACCCGUAAUAUUAAUAGCACAAAAAUUGAAGCCUUAAGAUAAUAAAAAACAUACUGAAAUCUUUUCAUUAACAACACCUCAGAGGCGCAAUGAAUUUUUAGUAGAUGCAGGAGGUCAUUGUUGGGCGCUACACACCUUCGUAUGCCCAGUAAAAGUAUGUAGUGGCUGGCUAAUUUUUCUUAUGUUGUAAUGAAUACGGUCAUUAUGCAAAACGAACCGCACGAGAAUAUAACUUCAUACAUCUAUGAAUAAAGAUAUGGAGGCUGCUGUGAUUAGGAUUAUCAGGCUCUGGCACUGAAAGCAGCGAUGUGCUGCACUUAUCUUCUAUUCGUUUCCUUUGAAAUUCUUUAGGAUUUUACAAUUUACAUUGAACAAUAUCUAGAUGUGUUUUUUGUUAUUUUAUAUUAUAUCUUAUAUUCCAAAUGGUUAUACUAUAUUUUUAGAUACUAAUUUUUAUGUGUAACUUGGGUUAUUCCUUUAAUAUCAAUUCAUGAUAUAUUAGUUCAAUAAAAGAGUUAGAAUCAAAGAAUUUAAGAGUA